Small nucleolar RNA from Lycium ferocissimum, 77 nucleotides. RefSeq annotates it as small nucleolar RNA snoR109. NCBI's taxonomy places the organism in Eukaryota, Viridiplantae, Streptophyta, Magnoliopsida, Solanales, Solanaceae. The transcript has a single exon. The record is from RefSeq and is a predicted model, not a curated record.
UGGCUGUAGCUAUAUGAAUGCAUUUGAGGAGUUUACUGGCCGGUUGUUGUAAAUCUGCUGACAUACUUCUUACAUUU